UGGUCCUACGGGGCGCAGCAGUGGGGAAUAUUGGGCAAUGGAGGAAACUCUGACCCAGCAACGCCGCGUGAGGGAUGAAGGUCUUCGGAUCGUAAACCUCUGUCAGCAGGGAAGAACGGUCACUGUGCUAAUCAGCAGUGAAUUGACGGUACUUGCAAAGGAAGCACCGGCUAACUCCGUGCCAGCAGCCGCGGUAAUACGGAGGGUGCGAGCGUUAAUCGGAAUUACUGGGCGUAAAGCGCUCGUAGGCGGUAUGUCAAGUCAAGGGUGAAAUCCCCGCGCUCAACGUGGGAACUGCCUUUGAA
This 305-nucleotide ribosomal RNA is filed under the name uncultured bacterium. RNAcentral describes it as "bacterial SSU rRNA". It matches the Rfam family "Bacterial small subunit ribosomal RNA", at positions 334 to 631 of the family's 1533-position model. The record is from RNAcentral.